GUACCGCCUGCCCUGUGGAAACCCUAAACGGCCGCGGCAUAAAACCGUGCAAAGGUAGCACAAUCACUUGUCCCUUAAAUAGGGACCCGUAUGAAAGGCAACAUGAGAGAGGACCUGUCUCCUAAGACAAGCCAAUGAAAUUGAACUGCCAGUACAAAAGCUGGCAUUUACAAGCAAGACAAAAAGACCCCAUGGAACUUUAACCAACUAUUAACAAAACUUAAUUUUAGGUUUCGGUUGGGACAACCAUAGAAAAACUAAACUUCUAAACUUUUACAAGACCAACAAGUCUAUUAUACUCACCUUGACCCAGUCAAACUGAUCAAUGAAAUAAGCUACCCUGGGGAUAACAGCGCCACCUUCUUAAAAAGUUCAUAUUAACAAGAAGACCUACGACCUCGAUGUUGGAUCAGGAUACCCAGACGGUGCAGCAGCUGUUAAAGGUUCGUUUGUUCAACGACUAACAUCCUACGUGAUCU
This 479-nucleotide ribosomal RNA is filed under the name Brookesia dentata. RNAcentral describes it as "partial 16S ribosomal RNA". It matches the Rfam family "Bacterial large subunit ribosomal RNA", at positions 1852 to 2606 of the family's 2925-position model. The record is from RNAcentral. Lineage: Eukaryota; Metazoa; Chordata; Lepidosauria; Squamata; Chamaeleonidae.